RNAcentral lists this ribosomal RNA (477 nucleotides) under uncultured bacterium. Its description in RNAcentral is "partial 16S ribosomal RNA". It matches the Rfam family "Bacterial small subunit ribosomal RNA", at positions 29 to 507 of the family's 1533-position model. The record is from RNAcentral.
AUGAACGCUGGCGGCGUGCUUAACACAUGCCAGUCGAACGAGAAGUGAAGACGGAACCCUUCGGGCGGAAGGCUUUAUUUCGAGUGGCGGACGGGUGAGUAACGCGUGGGUAACCUGCCUCAUACAGGGGGAUAACAGUUGGAAACGACUGUUAAUACCGCAUAAGACCACAGCACCGCAUGGUGCGGGGGUAAAAACUCCGGUGGUAUGAGAUGGACCCGCGUUCGAUUAGCCAGUUGGCGGGGUAACGGCCCACCAAAGCGACGAUCGAUAGCCGAUCUGAGAGGAUGACCGGCCACAUUGGGACUGAGACACGGCCCAAACUCCUACGGGAGGCAGCAGUGGGGAAUAUUGCACAAUGGGGGAAACCCUGAUGCAGCGACGCCGCGUGAGUGAAGAAGUAUUUCGGUAUGUAAAGCUCUAUCAGCAGGGAAGAAAAUGACGGUACCUGAGUAAGAAGCCCCGGCUAACUACGUG